CCUACGGGCGGCAGCAGUGGGGAAUAUUGGGCAAUGGAGGAAACUCUGACCCAGCAAAGCCGCGUGAAUGAAGAAGGUCUUCGGAUUGUAAAGCUCUUUAGUCAGGGAAGAACAAAAUGACGGUACCUGAAGAAUAAGUUUCCGCUAACUACGUGCCAGCAGCCGCGGUAAUACGUAGGGAGCAAGCGUUGUUCGGAAUGACUGGGCGUAAAGGGUGCGUAAGCGGGUACACAAGUGAGAAGGGGAAUACCCCGGGCUUAACUCGGGUGCUGCUUCUGAAACUGGCAGACUUGAGUGCAGUAGAGGUUAGUGGAAUUCCUUGUGUAGCGGUGAAAUGCGUAGAUAUUAGGAGGAACACCAGUGGCGAAGGCGGCUAACUGGACUGCAACUGACGCUGAGGCACGAAAGUGUGGGGAGCAAACAGGAUUAGAUACCCCUGUAGUC
This 444-nucleotide ribosomal RNA is filed under the name uncultured bacterium. RNAcentral describes it as "partial 16S ribosomal RNA". It matches the Rfam family "Bacterial small subunit ribosomal RNA", at positions 338 to 795 of the family's 1533-position model. The record is from RNAcentral.